This 589-nucleotide ribosomal RNA is filed under the name uncultured marine eukaryote. Its description in RNAcentral is "SSU rRNA". It matches the Rfam family "Eukaryotic small subunit ribosomal RNA", at positions 612 to 1202 of the family's 1831-position model. The record is from RNAcentral.
GUUGUGGUUAAAAAGCUCGUAGUUGGAUCUCAACAGCCUUGAAGCGGUUAACUUUGUAGUUUUACUGCUUUAUAGGCUGUGCUUUUGCUGGAGGUUUAGGGGUGCUCUUGAUCGAGUGUCUCUGGAUGCCAGCAGGUUUACUUUGAAAAAAUUAGAGUGCUCAAAGCAGGCUAAAAUGCCUGAAUAUUCGUGCAUGGAAUAAUAGAAUAGGAUGUCGAUCCUAUUUUGUUGGUUUUCGGGACUCGACAUAAUGAUAAAUAGGGACAGUCGGGGGCAUUUGUAUUCAAACGACAGAGGUGAAAUUCUUGGACCGUUUGAAGACAAACUACUGCGAAAGCAUUUGCCAAGAAUGUUUUCAUUAAUCAAGAACGAAAGUUAGAGGUUCGAAGGCGAUUAGAUACCGCCCUAGUUCUAACCAUAAACGAUGCCAGCUAGCGAUCUGCCUGCGUUUUUACUGUAGACUGGGCAGGAAGCUUCCGGGAAACCAAAGCAUUUGGGUUCCAGGGGAAGUAUGGUUGCAAAGCUGAAACUUAAAGGAAUUGACGGAAGGGCACCACCAGGAGUGGAGCCUGUGGCUUAAUUUGACUCA